GACGAACGCUGGCGGCGUGCCUAAUACAUGCAAGUAGAACGCAGUUGCGAACGGGUGAGUAACGCGUAGGUAACUGCCUCAUAGCGGGGGAUAACUAUUGGAAACGAUAGCUAAUACCGCAUACUGUGAGAUGGACCUGCGUUGUAUUAGCUAGUUGGUGAGGUAAAGGCUCACCAAGGCGACGGUCCAUAGCCGGCCUGGGAGGGUGAUCGGCCACACUGGGACUGAGACACGGCCCCGACCCCUACGGGCAGCAGCAGUAGGGAAUCUUCGGAAAUGGACGGAAGUCUUACCGCGCAACGCCGCGUUAGUGAAGAAGGUUUUCGGAUCGUAAAGGUCUGUUGUUCGAGAAGCGGUACCUACCCAGAAAGGGCCGGCUAACUACGUGCCAGCAGCCGCGGUAAUUC
Molecule: ribosomal RNA, 407 nt
Filed under: uncultured bacterium
Lineage: Bacteria
Description: partial 16S ribosomal RNA
Rfam family: Bacterial small subunit ribosomal RNA
Source: RNAcentral